GACGAACCGUACGAACGUUAUUCGGAAUUACUGGGCUUAAAGGGUGCGUAGGCGGUGCGGAAAGUUGGGUGUGAAAUCCCUCGGCUCAACCGAGGAACUGCGCCCAAAACUACCGCACUCGAGGAAGAUAGAGGUGAGCGGAACUUACGGUGGAGCGGUGAAAUGCGUUGAUAUCGUAAGGAACACCCGUGGCGAAAGCGGCUCACUGGGUCUUUUCUGACGCUGAUGCACGAAAGCUAGGGGAGCAAACGGG
Molecule: ribosomal RNA, 253 nt
Filed under: uncultured bacterium
Lineage: Bacteria
Description: partial 16S ribosomal RNA
Rfam family: Bacterial small subunit ribosomal RNA
Source: RNAcentral